Molecule: non-coding RNA, 9456 nt
Organism: Oryctolagus cuniculus (rabbit)
Lineage: Eukaryota; Metazoa; Chordata; Mammalia; Lagomorpha; Leporidae
Source: RefSeq, a predicted model, not a curated record
AGCGCCCUUUGGGGAGUGCCAGUCUACAAAGGCUGGCAGCAAGGCAGGAGCUGGUGGGAGGGGGGUGGUCUCAGGAGACCACUGGCCUCUGGGUCAGGACUUCGGUCCGGCCAUACCUUCCUGGCCUCAGGAGCUGCCCUGCAGCCUGCCUCUCACAGGUCCGUGGCCAGGAUCCAUCAGGACUGUAGGCUGACAGUCCCAGCUUUCACACGUGGGCCUGGUUCCUGAGGCUGUGGGCCCAGAGUUGGGUCAUGAAGAGUCUUGGGAACCAAAGAAAGGUUCUACAGGUGUCUGGAGGAACGCAGGGAUGACAACAGUUGCCCUCUCACGAAAAGCCUUCCCUGCAAAACGCCUAGUCGUGAGCCAGGGCUGGAGCAACCACCGUCACAGACAGGAGCCGCCGUCCACCACAUCUGGUCUUUUGAGUUUCCUCUGGGCCAUAUGAGAAAGGUGGAGAUUGUUCAGAGACCCCGGUUUGGCGGAAAGCCUGGGUGCGCAGCCCGCUGAGAGGCUGGGAAGCUCAGGCCCCACGUACUGCUCUGCGGCAGGAACGGUAGGUCGUUAUUCCUUCGCAAACGAAGCUAUCAAACCGCAGUUUGAGAGGGGGAGCGUGCCCGGUUAUGUGUGCUUUCACUCGGCCUACCUAACUCGGGGGGUCCUGGCAGCCACGCGUCCUGUUACAGCCCUGCGUUCACGUGGUCCUGGCUCAAAGGGACUUCUGGCCACUCAGGCAAUUCUAAGACUGGCCUUCACCUCCGAUUUUGCUCAGCCGCCUCCUCUCUCUCAGCUGGAGUCAUCUGGGAACAGGUGCAGGAGCGCUCAUCUGGAUGAGCCGGAGCCCGCCAGGCCUGUGUCGCUGUGGUGCGGCCGGUAUGGCAGGUCCCAGGACGUCUGUCUUCAGUCUGCCUUCAGUCACCGGCUCCACCUGCCGCGUCUUUCCAGAUCAGCUUCUCCGAGAUGGGUCGCAUCUGCGAGUGAGACUCCGUGGGGUUGUGGCAGGCCAUGUUAGGCGCGCGCACGGAGCGCCGGCUGUGCGUACUGCGUUCCUGAUGUGGGCGAGGCCCUGGUGCAUCCUGACGGUUUCUGCAAACCAAGUGCUCCGGGCCUGGGGGUCGGGGACCGACCCGUGCCGGGCCCAAGCUGCUCGUCACCUGGGCGGUCCCCGCCUCAGACGUGGAGGGGUUGCGGGCUGGUUCAUCGUGGCGGCCGUCUCCUGGUCCUCCGGGACGGGCUCGCGGGUGACGGCGGGGCCUCCGGAAUGUCCCGGCCCGGGAGCCCACGGCCGCAGCGGCCGCUCCUCUGGUAGGUGUCCGGCGCCCCCGCGGUGUGCGUGUUCGGUGGGCCGAGGCGUCCCGGGGUCCCUCGCCUGCCCGUGUGGUUGGCUUCGUGCGAGGAGUCCCCAAGCCCCGUGCCGCCCCAGGACCCUUCCACCAUACACUUGCACGCCUCUCGUCUCUGACACACGCACACACGCACGAUGUCGUCUUCCUAAAGUGGACCGUCACACCCACUGCUGUCGCCGCCGAAUUCUGUUACCUCGCGCUUGGCCCACCUGUAACUCCUCAAAGUGAUCCUCGCGCCCUGUUUGGAUGUUUGCUAUCUACUUGUCCGUUGCCUUUGAGCCAGAAAAUAAACCCUAGGCAGGGGUUCCGUCUGCUUCUGUGCCCUCGGCACAUAGUGGAUAGUUAAGAAUAUUUUUGGGUUGGCUAAUAGUUCAGGGAUGUGUUGAAAACAUUUGUUUCUCCAUUUAUUUUGUUCUCUGCUUUUAAGUAGAAAUAACCUUUAAAUUCAUACGCUGUGAGGUGCAGCUGCUGCCUGAAAUACCCAUUUGUUUAUGAUCUAUUUUAGAGGAUACACAAAGCUGUCAAUUAUUACCCUUUUGCCAUCUUGCUUAUGGUAUGAUUUCCUGUUGAGGAAUCAGUUCUAAAUAAACGUGCAAUCACUUCUCCAAUUGCAUUUUCAUAGUUUUGGAAAAUUGAAAUAGUAAAGUGACAGAGGAAUAAUUAUGCAAAUAAAGGUGAAAAAUCCAAACUACACGAAAUCUUUGAAGUGGAGCAUCUGUAGGCAAUAACCUGACAUAUUAUUGGCAUAGCAAGUCUUUUUAAGUUGCGCUUUUUAUCCUUUAAUUUUCAUUUAUUUGAAAGAGAAACAAACAGGGAUCUUUCCUGGCCGGUUCACUGCCCAAAUGCCUACAACAGCCCAGGCUGAGCCAGCAGCCCAGAGUCUCCUACGUGGGUGGCAGGGACCCAAGUGGUUGAGCCAUCCGCUGUCUCUUAGUGUGUGUGUUAGCGUGAAGCGGGGCUGGGACUUGAACUCAGCUACUGUGCCAUGGGGUGCAAGUGUUCUUAGCAUCAUCUCAACUACUUUGACAACGCCUGCCCCAAGGUGCUUGUUUGGGUGCAGUCACUCCUGGGUGCUAGAAUUAACAAAGACUCACCAGCCAGGUGUGUGUUUAAGCUUCAGUCAAUCUGUUAGGCACUUUGGGAAUAACAGAGGUGCCAAAGGGUUUGCAAUUAAGUUGUGGAAAUGCAGCAUAUAUUAAAAUGCUAAAAAUAGGCAAAUUUCAGAUAAUAGUAAAUGGGGGACAAAGACUCACAGUCAUGGUAGGCUGAGAUUGUGAAAUGGAAGUGGGAUAAAAGGUAGAACUGAAGGCCAUCUGUGAUUUCAGUAAGUACAUGAAGGUAGAGCAUUUCAGAUGUGGGUACGAUUGCACACAUAGCAGCACACAUACAGGCCCCGUAAUGAAAGGGAGGGCUUCUGUACAUAGAAGGAAAGAAGCUCUGACCACGUGGCUGUGGUGGUCAGCGUGUAGUUUAGGUACCAGAAAACGUUUUUCUGAAAUUGUCCACCAUAAGAGUGAAAAUAUAAGUCAUAUUUAAAUUGUGGUUGGCAAGAAACACAUUAGUUUUUAUUAUAAAAUUGAGCCUAUUUGGAUAGUUUCUUUAGCAUAUGAAAACAUAUUUGUCACCUCUGACAGAGAAUCUGAAUUAAUAAAAAUACAUAACACUUUAGGGAAGUGUUUGUGCUUUCCUUAUCAUGAAUUUUGUAAGUCACAGGCAAAGCAAGUUAAAUAAAACAUGUAGAUGAACUGUGUGAACCACUUUCUUCUAAUGAAAAAAACUGGAAGAAAACAUUUAAGAAUCUUAAUAGGUACAUAGGAAUAUCUUCAAAGCUUUUGCUUAAAUCUAGUUUGUGUUUGGCAAGGAAAACAAAAAUAUAACCUGAGGUAUAAAGUAUUCUUGGCAUAAUAUGUUACUUGCAAAUCUGAGGUGCAGCUACUAUGGUUCUCUGAUAUGAAACCCAAAAGCACUCCAGAGGGAGAAUUCUGUUGUCCUUAUAACCAGCAUAGAACAGAAAUAGCUAAUAGCUAAUAUCUAAUACUGAAACUGGACGCAGUUACAAGAUUUGGCACCAUUCCUUAAGGUGUAGGGUUUUACGUGACCUGACUUGCUGCAUUCAUAUAACUAGUUCAUGCAGAUGGGAGUGUAACUCUGCUACAAACACAUGUAACUUCUAUUUUAUGCAUGAGAAUAUUUUUUUUCUAACUCAUAAUUACAGUAAACAGACACCUAUUGUCUUUUACAAACACAAAAUUCUGGUGUGUAUAACCAGCUUCAGGGUAGAACAACAGGUGACUUUUGUAAAAAUGUGCUUUAUUAAGGUAUGUGGCUGUACCUGGAUAUUAAUUUAAGCAGCAGAACACAUACCAUGCAUCACACUGUUUGCUGACAUAUUUUAAAAUAAAUUUUAAAUUUUAAAAUAAAAGGUAUCAGUAUAAAAGAUUAUGUGUGUUUUCUAGAAGCCAGCACUAUGUCUGUACUUAAAGUUUCAUGUUGGGUGGUGAUAAUUAUUCCAGUAAAAAAUACUGUCAGUUUCAGAUGGAAACACUAAGGAGAGUAGGUCCCGUCCCCUCUUUGGAAAAUGUCCGUAGCUUAGGAUAAAGGCUGUGCUCUCUGACAGAUGAGCACGUAUGUUACGUGGGACCAGAGCUUUGGGAGACUGAAGUUGAGAUGCUGACUUUCCACAUUGACUUGAGGGACAGUUAGCUUCAUGGAGAAGUGGCAUUUAGUUUUACUCAGAAUAACAAUCAAGGUGAAGAUUGGAGUGAGAAAAUUUUGUCUUUGCACUGAGUUGUGUCAAAAGAAAGAAAUGGGAAAACAUAUUUCUCACAGUCAAAAGUAGAAAUAAAAAUGUAUAUUUAUAAUCCAUUAUGGAAGCUUUAAGGGCUAGAUUAAAGCACAAAUCAUAGUAAAGCUAGCAUGCAAGUGGAGACCAUUGAUACUGUUUCGAUCAAAAGUGAUCUAGAGUGUUCUUGGAAGUUUAAUCUGUAAACAAAGUGACAUUCAGAGUGGAGGCAAAUAACAGUGUGUGGGAAUAACUCGUUUAUUCACUUACCCAUGCAGUGUGCUGUGUUUGCAGUACAAUUCUUGGAGGAGAGGAAGACUUAAAUGAUCCUUGUACAGCUGAUUGUGGAGAAAGAAGUCCAAAGAUAGCCACAAAGAUGAAGAAGCAGGGAAAAAUGAGAUUUCACUUGUAGAUUUUCAGUUUCAUCUCUGGAGAUGAAGUGGUAGAGUUAAACAGUGAGAGAGAGAGUGUGGGGAGCAACCGAGACUAGACUAAAUUACUGGAACUAAGACUAAUUCUAUGCAUCUGAUCUCCCACCAUAUGGUGCUGAGAAGGAGUAAACAACUUCCACACAGCUGCCUCGCCAGUUCGACUGAUAAACUGCAGGAGCUGAUCCUGCUCCUGAUUGGAGGAGAGCAGCGUGCUCGGCGUGUGGGCAGCAGAGCAGGAAUUGGUGGAAGAGGACUAUAAAGGAGGAGAGAGACAACAUGCACCGGGAAUAUCUGAAGGAACACCUGAGCAGCCCCUGAGAGAGCUGGCCAGCGGUGUGCCGCUCCUCCACGGAAGCGGGGAAAGCUGCGGGGGUGCUGCCCCUCCGCGGAGGUGGGGGGGCUGGCAGCUAACCCGGCAUGGCGUCAUUCCUCCGCAAGUGAGGGAACAGCAGCAAACCCAGAAAGGGCCAGACAAAAGGAACAGUGCAGGGUCCGGUGUCGUUCCUCCGCGAAUGGGGGAGCGACAAGAGAGAGACAGAGAGAAAGGUCUUCCUUUUUUUCUGUUGGUUCACCCCCCAAGUGGCUGCAUUGCGGCCAGUGCACUGCGCCGAUCCGAAGCCAGGAGCCAGGUGUUUCCUCCUGGUCUCCCAUGCAGGUGCAAGGCCCAAGGACCUGGGCCAUCCUCCACUGUACUCCCGGGCCACAGCAGAGAGCUGGACUGGAAGAGGAGCAACUGGGACAGAAUCCGGCACCCCAACUGGGACUAGAACCCGGAGUGCCGGUGCUGCAGGCAGAGAGGAUUAGCCUAGUGAGUUGCGAAUAUCCAAGUACCAUAGGAGUGGGUGCAUAUACUUUUGUUAUAAUCACGUCUUCUUGUUGAACUGAUCCCUUAAUCAUUAUGUGAUGCACUUCUUCAUUUUUUUAACAGUUUUUAUAUUAAAUUCUGUUUUGUCUGAUAUUAGGAUGGUUAUACCUGUUCUUUUGGCUUUCCAUUAGCAUGGAAUACCUUUUUCCAUCCUAUCAAUUUCAGUCUAUGUGUAUCUUUUUGGUGAGGUAUGUUUCUUGUAGGCAGCAGAUAGAUGGGUCUUGCUUUUUUUUUUUUUUUUUUUUUUGACAGGCAGAGUUAGACAGUGAGAGAGAGACUGAGAGACUUAGAGAAAGGUCUUCCUUCCGUUGGUUCACUCCCCAAAUGGCCGCUACUGCCAGUGCGCUGUGCCGAUCUGAAGCCAGGAGCCAGGUGCCUCCUCCUGGUCUCCCAUGCAGGUGCAUGGCCCCAGCACUUAGGCCAUCCUCCACUGCACUCCCGGGCCACAGCAGAGAGCUGGACUGGAAGAGGAGAAACCAGGACAGAACCAGUGCCCCAAAUGGGACUAGAACCUGGGGUGCCGGUGCCGUAGUUGGAGGAUUAGCCUAGUGAGCCACAGCACUGGCCGGGUCUUGCUUUUUAAUAUAUUCAGCUUGUCUUGCUGUUUUAAUUGGAGCAUUCAGGCCAUUUAUAUUUGUUUACUGUUGGUAAAUAACAACAUGGCCCUGCCAUGUUUCUGUAAAUAUUCCUAUUGUUUGCUUUGGAAUACUUUUGUACCUUAUCGGGAAAUUUUCUGCCUUCACAUUCUUUUUUUUUUAUUAUUGUUAUUUAUUUAUUUUUGACAGGCAGAGUGGACAGUGAGAGAGAGAGACAGAGAGAAAGGUCUUCCUUUUUCCGUUGGUUCACCCCCCAAUGGCUGCUGCGGCCGGCGAGCUGCAGCCAGCGCUCUGCGGCCAGCACACCAUGCUGAUCCGUAGCCAUGAGCCAGGUGUUUCUCCUGGUCUCCCCUGUGGGUGCAGGGCCCAAGGACUUGGCCAUCCUCCACUGCACUUCCAGGCCAUAGCAGAGAGCUGGAAUAGAAGAGGAGCAACCGGGACAGAAUCUAGCGCCCCGACCGGGACUAGAACUCAGGGUGCCGGUGCCGCAGGUGGAGAAUUAGCCUAUUGAGCUGCGGUGCUGGCCUUCAUGUUCUUUUAUAAUGAUGACUGUCUUUCUCUAUUUCUGUGUGUAGCACAGCCUUAAGCAUAAUUUGAAAGACUGGAUGAAUGAUGACAAAUUCUUUAAAUUUCUGUUUGUUAUGGAAGGUUCUUAUUUCACAGUCAUUCAUAAAUGAGAGUUUUGCAGGAUAUAUUUUCUGGGUUGACAGUUUUUUCCUGUAAGACUAUGACUCUGCCCCUCCUAUCUCUCCUAUCUUGUAGGGUUUCUGAUGAUAACUCAGCUUUGAAGCCAUUUGGAGAUCCUCUGAAAGAAAUCUGGCAUUUGAUACACAUUUUAUAAGCUUUUCUUUAUGUUUUGCUGUUGAAGUUUGACUACAAUGUGUCAUAGUGGAGACUUUUUCUGGUCAUGUCCAUUAGGAGCUCUGUGUACUUCCUGUACUUGGUUGUCCCUUUCUUUCUCCACAUUAGGAAGGUUUUCUGUUACUAUUUAAUUGAGGAAGUCCUCUAAUGCAUUCUGUCUUUCCAUAACUUCAGGAACUCCUAUGACACACAUGUUGUGUCAUUUGAUAGUAUCCCAUAAAGUUUGAACCUUGUUUUUAAUUUUUCUAAUGUCUUUUUGUUAUUUUCUGAGUUAUUCCCAAAGAUUUGUCUUGUAAUUUAGAUAAUCUUUCAUCUUCCUCACCUAGUUUAUUGUUAAGGCUUUCCACUGAAUUUUUAUUUGACAAAUUGAAUUCAUUCUUCAUUUCUAUAAUUUCAGUUUGAUUUCUUUUCAAAAUCUCCAUCUAACAGGAAAAUUAUUCAUCCAUGUCAUGUAUGGACUUCUGUAACUCAUGAAUUUGCUUCUCAUUGCUUCUGAGUAAUCUGUGAUCGUUCCUUUGAGUUCUAUUUCAAGCAUUUCUGCAAUAUGUCUUCACAUUCUGUUAUUGAAGUAUUACAUUCCUUUGGGGGAGUCAUGUUUUCUUCCUUAUUCUUAUUUCAUUGUUUUCUGUAAUUAUUUUUAGGCAGUUAUGGAAAUAGUUGUUGGAUUUCUUCUCUGUUGGAUUGUGUCAUUGAACUGUGCCUCUGUGGCUUACUGGAGUGUCUACUCUCUCAUAAAUACUUAGAGACGUGUGCUGUGUGUGGCCAUCGAGCUCUCGUCAGUAUUCAGGUUUAGCGUGCAAAGCCAGUGACACUCAAGUUGGUCACGGUAGAGCUCCUGUAUUGUCAGCAGGGGAGAAAGUAGUACGAUCUUGCCUUUUGGAGUAAUCACAACCUCAUUUUUUCUUUCAAGGGGAUCAGUGCCCAGGGUUAGCACAGAUUGGAUACAGCCUCUAUCCACGCUGGCACAUGAACCACACGAAAGAUCUUUGUGGUCCUUUAUGUGAGCAAGUUGUCUGCAAUGAUCUACCCCAGGCCGUCAAGGAGCACUGAGCCACUGACAGCAGAUACAGAGAUGGCCCAGAGAUCCAGCUACACCCCGAACCCUAUCACUCAGUCAUGGAUUUCUCGCAGUCAGAGCACACAAGGUUCCCACACUCAUGAGGUUCAGAAGAUUCCACUCGACCUCAUGAGCCUGCCCCAUCCAAGGAGACAGCAGAGAUACUCCCCGAGUCAGCAGCCUGUGGGUGCUCUGCUUUGGCAUUUUGAGCUCAAGAUUGCUGAAGAAUACUAAAAAUAAAUAUACUAUAUGAUUGAGUUAACCCAUUUUUAUUAUUAUGUCUUCAGUUGUUUAUUAUUUGUGCCUCCUUAUGCAGCAUAAAAUGAGUACUUUGUUAUAUAUUUUAAGAGUUUUUCCUAAUUUGUGACCUCUUAACAGUUAGUAAAUAAACAGAAAUUAUUAUUCUUAAUGUAGAAUCAGACUACCACUGAUUAAAAACUCUGCACCUGUCCAGGGUGAAGCUAAUUUCUAAAAGCUUUAUGUUUUGGGGCCAGUGCUGUGGCGCAACAGGUUAAAGCCCUAGCCUGAAGCGCCAGCAUCUCAUAUGGGCACCAGUUCUAGUCCCGGCUGCUCCUCUUCUGAUCUAGCUCUCUGCUAUGGCCUAGGAAAGCAGUAGAAGAUGGUCCAAGUCCUGUGCCCCUGCACCGACGUGGGACACCCGGAGGAAGCUUCUGGCUCCUGCCUUCAGAUUAGCGCAGCUCAAGCUAUCGUGACCAUUUGGGGAGUGAACCAGCAGAUGGAAGACCUCUCUCUCUGUCUCUACCUCCCUCUGUAACUCUGUCUUUCAAAUAAAUAAAAUAAAUCUCAAAAAAAAGCUUUAUGUUUUAUCUUCUACAUUUAGAGAUCUAAUCUACCCAAGAUUGAUUUUAAUAUAUUAUAUGAAGAAAUGGAAAUUUUUUUUAUUUCCUCAUGAAGUCCACUUAACACAUUAUUUAUAUAAAAACAUCCUUUAUCUGAUAUUUGUGUUGUCUUUGCUUUUAGACUAUAGCAAAACUGAGGUGCACUGGAUAGGUUUCUUCCGCCUAGAUGUGCCGUGAAAUCCAGUUUUUGUUCUCAGGGCUCGUGAAAUGAUUUGAAGCUCUCAGCUUCAAUACUUUUAUGUUGUAUAACUGUAAUUUGGGGAUUCUCACCUGCUCCAGGGUAAAAUUGAUGUCAGUCUGUACUGACCUCUCUGGACCUCUGUUCUUUGAAUCUCUCACAAUUUCUUUGUAAUUUGCCAGUGGUGUGAUUGCUUCAGACUGAUCAGUUUUGCAUAAUUUGACUGACUAGUUGUUCUAAGCAAUAGUUUGGGUUAUAAAGAACCUGAUCUUCCAUUGUUAGAAGAAAAUCAGUAUGAGCAAUUAUAGUUUUGAAAACUGUAUCCCAUAGAAUUCACAACUUGAAUCCUCGACUUUCCCCAGCAUUUCUCUGAUUUUCCCUAAAUUAUGAGUCUUAAGAGAGGUUAAAAACAUUUAAUAGAAUUUAAUGUAUUACAUAAGAUGAGUUCAUAUGAUUACAUUUAUUACUAAUGCUGUAGUGUUA